UAUCAGAAAGUUCCUGUACUAGUUCUGUAGUGUACCAACAGAUGCAGCAUAUGGUUGUAUGCACAGUGAAGGAUAGCAAAUUGCAAAAAUACUUGC
This is a long non-coding RNA of Octopus sinensis (East Asian common octopus), 96 nucleotides long. RefSeq lists it as uncharacterized. The transcript has 3 exons. Lineage: Eukaryota; Metazoa; Mollusca; Cephalopoda; Octopoda; Octopodidae. The record is from RefSeq and is a predicted model, not a curated record.